Molecule: microRNA precursor, 107 nt
Filed under: Canis lupus familiaris (dog)
Lineage: Eukaryota; Metazoa; Chordata; Mammalia; Carnivora; Canidae
Also listed under: 1 other name
Description: mir-8834 microRNA precursor family
Rfam family: mir-8834 microRNA precursor family
Source: Rfam by way of RNAcentral
AGGAGGAACAACCGCAGUGGCGGGGCCAGCUCUGGAAACCUGGAGUCAGCUCCCACGGUAACAAUUAGGAGCUCUCCGUCUGCAGGGCCUGGAUGCUCCGGGGCAGG